GAUGAACGCUGGCUACAGGCUUAGCACAUGCAAGUCGAGGGGAAACGACGGGGAAGCUUGCUUCCCCGGGCGUCGACCGGCGCACGGGUGAGUAACGCGUAUCCAACCUGCCUCUGACUGAGGGAUAACCCGUCGAAAGUCGGCCUAAUACCUCAUGGUAUCGUCUGCGGGCAUCCAACGACGAUUAAAGAUUUCAUCGGUCAGGGAUGGGGAUGCGUCUGAUUAGCUUGUUGGCGGGGUACCGGCCCACCAAGGCUACGAUCAGUAGGGGUUCUGAGAGGAAGGUCCCCCACAUUGGAACUGAGACACGGUCCAAACUCCUACGGGAGGCAGCAGUGAGGAAUAUUGGUCAAUGGGCGAGAGCCUGAACCAGCCAAGUAGCGUGCAGGAAGACGGCCCUAUGGGUUGUAAACUGCUUUUAUGCGGGGAUAAAGUGAGGGACGUGUCCCUCAUUGCAGGUACCGCAUGAAUAAGGACCGGCUAAGUCCGUG
RNAcentral lists this ribosomal RNA (491 nucleotides) under uncultured bacterium. Its description in RNAcentral is "partial 16S ribosomal RNA". It matches the Rfam family "Bacterial small subunit ribosomal RNA", at positions 28 to 507 of the family's 1533-position model. The record is from RNAcentral.